Molecule: transfer RNA, 74 nt
Filed under: bacterium
Lineage: Bacteria
Description: tRNA-Leu
Rfam family: tRNA
About the family: Transfer RNA (tRNA) molecules are approximately 80 nucleotides in length.
Source: RNAcentral
GCCACCGUAGCUCAGUGGUAGAGCACUAGGCCCAAGCAGCCUGGAGGACGCUGGUUCGAAUCCAGCCGGUGGCA